UACGUAGGGUGCAGGCGUUAAUCGGAAUUACUGGGCGUAAAGCGUGCGCGGGCGGUUUGCUAAGACAGGUGUGAAAUCCCCGGGCUUAACCUGGGAACUGCGCUUGUAACUGGCAAGCUUGAGUGUGGCAGAGGGGGGGUGGAAUUCCACGUGUAGCAGUGAAAUGCGUAGAGAUGUGGAGGAACACCGAUGGCGAAGGCAGCCCCCCUGGGCUAACACUGACGCUCAUGCACGAAAGCGUGGGGAGCAAACAGG
RNAcentral lists this ribosomal RNA (255 nucleotides) under uncultured bacterium. Its description in RNAcentral is "partial 16S ribosomal RNA". It matches the Rfam family "Bacterial small subunit ribosomal RNA", at positions 524 to 776 of the family's 1533-position model. The record is from RNAcentral.